Molecule: ribosomal RNA, 1104 nt
Filed under: Symbiotaphrina lignicola
Lineage: Eukaryota; Fungi; Ascomycota; Symbiotaphrinales; Symbiotaphrinaceae
Description: LSU rRNA
Rfam family: Eukaryotic large subunit ribosomal RNA
Source: RNAcentral
GCUAUCAAUAAGCGGAGGAAAGAAACACAGGGAUUGCCUCAGUAACGGCGAGUGAAGCGGCAACAGCUCAAAUUUGAAAUCUGGCUCUUUCAGAGUCCGAGUUGUAAUUUGUAGAGGAUGCUUCGGAAUGGUCCCAGUCUAAGUUCCUUGGAACAGGACGUCGCAGAGGGUGAGAAUCCCGUAUGUGACUGGGUAACCGGCCCAUGUGAAGCUCCUUUCGACGAGUCGAGUUGUUUGGGAAUGCAGCUCUAAAUGGGUGGUAAAUUUCAUCUAAAGCUAAAUAUUGGCCAGAGACCGAUAGCGCACAAGUAGAGUGAUCGAAAGAUGAAAAGCACUUUGGAAAGAGAGUUAAAAAGUACGUGAAAUUGUUGAAAGGGAAGCGUUUGCAACCAGACUUGCCUGCAGUUGAUCAGCUGGUGUUCUCACCGGUGCACUCUUCUGCAGACAGGCCAGCAUCAGUUUGGGUGGUUGGAUAAAGGCUGGAGGAAUGUAGCUCCUCUCGGGGAGAACUUAUAGCCUCCAGCGUCAUGCAGCCUGCCCGGACUGAGGACCGCGCUUUUUGCUAGGAUGCUGGCGUAAUGGUUGUAAACGACCCGUCUUGAAACACGGACCAAGGAGUCUAACAUCUAUGCGAGUGUUUGGGUGUCAAACCCGUACGCGUAAUGAAAGUGAACGGAGGUGGGAAGCGCAAGCUGCACCAUCGACCGAUCCUGAUGUCUUCGGAUGGAUUUGAGUAUGAGCAUAGCUGUUGGGACCCGAAAGAUGGUGAACUAUGCCUGAAUAGGGUGAAGCCAGAGGAAACUCUGGUGGAGGCUCGCAGCGGUUCUGACGUGCAAAUCGAUCGUCAAAUUUGGGUAUAGGGGCGAAAGACUAAUCGAACCAUUGACACCGAUACUAGGUGGUUAAUUGAAAGGGUGCGCAUCUCGAUGCCACCUUUCCAGCUCAACUCGUUUGGGCAACACUGCUAACUGCAUGGACGUCCCUUAACUGGAACAACAUGCCGCGGUCCUGCACAAGGAUCGCUCACAGACCAAAUGGCAGUGGCUGGACGGAGACGUCUAGUUAAGAAAUGGCCGGUCCCCCUCGAGAACGAGGAGAGCAACG